UGUGUAGGCGGCUUUUUAAGUUUGGUGUGAAAUCUCCCGGCUCAACUGGGAGGGUGCGCCGAAAACUGAAAGGCUAGAGUGCGGGAGAGGAGAGUGGAAUUCCUGGUGUAGCGGUGAAAUGCGUAGAUAUCAGGAGGAACACCGGUGGUGUAGACGGCUCUCUGGACCGUAACUGACGCUGAGACACGAAAGCGUGGGUAGCAAACAGGAUUAGAUACCCUGGUAGUCCACGCCCUAAACGAUGCAUAUUUGGUGUGGGUCAUUCAGUUGAUCCGUGCCGGAGCUAACGCGUUAAAUAUGCCGCCUGGGGAGUACAGUCGCAAGGCUGAA
Molecule: ribosomal RNA, 330 nt
Filed under: uncultured bacterium
Lineage: Bacteria
Description: bacterial SSU rRNA
Rfam family: Bacterial small subunit ribosomal RNA
Source: RNAcentral